Molecule: RNA transcript, 614 nt
Organism: Tripterygium wilfordii
Lineage: Eukaryota; Viridiplantae; Streptophyta; Magnoliopsida; Celastrales; Celastraceae
Gene name: EG45-like domain containing protein
Exons: 3
Source: RefSeq, a predicted model, not a curated record
UUUACUUUGCUUAACAAUACCAUAAAGAAAAUAUUAUGGCAGUUUUUCAGAAGUCCUUUGUGUUAUUCAUGGCAUCACUCUGCUUUUGUUUCAGUUCGUUUCCAACGGCAUCAACUCAAAACCAAGGGACUGCAACCUUCUUCUCUCCUCCCUACGUUCCUUCUGCUUGUUAUGGAAAUGAGGACAAAGGGCAGUCAAUUGCAAGCGCAAGCACGGAAAUUUGGAACAAUGGCAACGUCUGUGGUCAAAUUUACCAUUUUACUUGCGUUAGUGUGCCGAGUACACAAUUAGGGUCCGGUUGCUUAGGCACCUCAUGGCCUGUUAUGGUUGUAGAUCACUGUCUUGGUUGUAACACAACCUUUGGCCUGUCACAAGAAGUAUUUAGAUAUCUUGCAGAUACUAAUGCUGGUGAAAUAACCAUCUCUUACACAUAGUCUAAAUUAAGACAUAUUGGGAGCUCUAUUCCCUAAUGUGAGGAAAUAGUUCUUCCAAUAUCAAAUAUAUAAUAAGGGAAGACUAUCUACAUGGGCCUCAGAUGAUAAAUAGACCAUCUUUUAAUAAAUGCCCAAAAAAUAAUGAUGAAAUGAAAAAUAUAUAAAUAUUCCGCUUUUAUG